RNAcentral lists this ribosomal RNA (483 nucleotides) under uncultured bacterium. RNAcentral's name for it is "partial 16S ribosomal RNA". It matches the Rfam family "Bacterial small subunit ribosomal RNA", at positions 28 to 523 of the family's 1533-position model. The record is from RNAcentral.
GACGAACGCUGGCGGCGUGCUUAACACAUGCAAGUCGAACGAUGGAGCCGGAGCUUGCUCUGGUGAAUUAGUGGCGAACGGGUGAGUAACACGUGAGUAACCUGCCCUUGACUCUGGGAUAACUGCGGGAAACUGUAGCUAAUACCGGAUACGACCAUCGGAGGCAUCUCCUGGGGGUGGAAAGAAUUUCGGUCAAGGAUGGACUCGCGGCCUAUCAGCUAGUUGGUGAGGUAAAGGCUCACCAAGGCGACGACGGGUAGCCGGCCUGAGAGGGUGACCGGCCACACUGGACUGAGACACGGCCCAGACUCCUACGGGAGGCAGCAGUGGGGAAUAUUGCACAAUGGGCGCAAGCCUGAUGCAGCAACGCCGCGUGAGGGAUGACGGCCUUCGGGUUGUAAACCUCUUUUAGCAGGGAAGAAGCGAAAGUGACGGUACCUGCAGAAAAAGCACCGGCUAACUACGUGCCAGCCGCCGCAGUAA